UGUGUAGACGGCAUAUUAAGUCAACUGUUAAAUUCUCCGGCCUAACCGGAGGCAUGCGGUAGAUACUGGUGUGCUAGAGGAUGGAAGAGAGAGGCGGAAUUCUCGGAGUAGCGGUAAAAUGCGUAGAUCUCGAGAGGAACACCAAUGGCGAAGGCAGCCUCUUGGUCCAUAUCUGACGUUGAAACACGAAAGCGUGGGGAGCAAACAGGAUUAGAUACCCUGGUAGUCCACGCUGUAAACGAUGAUCACUAGACGUUAGUUCUGUUUUUACGGAAUUAGUGUCGUAGCUAACGCGUUAAGUGAUCCGCCUGGGAAUUACGGUCGCAAGAUUAAA
RNAcentral lists this ribosomal RNA (334 nucleotides) under uncultured bacterium. RNAcentral's name for it is "bacterial SSU rRNA". It matches the Rfam family "Bacterial small subunit ribosomal RNA", at positions 568 to 898 of the family's 1533-position model. The record is from RNAcentral.